GUUUUUUGCUCACACGAUAUACGUGGCAAUCUUGUUUUCAGAAUUUGUUUCGCUGUGUACUCCAGCUACAUAUGCAAAAAUCUGCGAUUUAUGACAACGACAGCUUAUCCAGUUGCGAUGAACAACGUAGUAUCAACGUAAUAUACCUUGACUAUAAAAAUUGAACCCAAUCUAAUCAACUAAGCAGUAUGAGGUGAGAAAGGAACUUGACAGUAUGCAAUAAUCUAAUUAAUGAACAAGCUUCGAUGAACAUAAUCCAUUAAAAGGGCGUUGCAGCGACAGGGAUUAAUAAACGUUCGUCACCAGAUCGUCGAUCCUCGCAAACGUCAGGACCAUUCAGGCGAUUCAGGGACGAGAGAAUAGAAUCAUUUGGCUGUGGGCGUGGAGAUAAAACAAGAUCUGUCUCGGAAUCACCGUGUCCUUAGGAGCGCAGCCAGACGAAGUAGCCGGAUUUAGGUAGAGCUUGUGGCCACACACUGGAUGCGGUUCCCGGUAAGUGCAGUUUUCCGCAAGUGGAUGCAGCUGUUGUACCGGAGCAUCCGG
Molecule: long non-coding RNA, 543 nt
Organism: Odontomachus brunneus
Lineage: Eukaryota; Metazoa; Arthropoda; Insecta; Hymenoptera; Formicidae
Exons: 4
Source: RefSeq, a predicted model, not a curated record